AAAAAGACGAGAUGUAGCUCCUUCCUCUCUCUCUUUGUCCUCCAUCCUUUCACUUCAUUGUACUGCAGUGUUUACAGGCAAAAAAACAAUAAUAAAAAGAUGCCUGUAAACACUGCGCUAUCAUUUCUACCGAAUAACUAUAAAUUGUAUUCCAGCCGAUAGUAUGUCUGUGCAAACUACAUUCAAACUAUGAUGGUCAACUAAAUGCACAUUUUUUUAUUUUUUUUUUAAUUUGAUUUGAUGAGUCAAACGCAACGUUUGGGUCACGCAGCACGCGCAUUCCAGAAUGUGAAAUAAUGACCAAGAGAGCAGUCAGUGCUGCCGUACUGCGGUCAAGCAUUUACCUCUUAAAUCAGCUCUGUGUUUGGCCACGGCUCGUGGCCGCGCGCACUGGAAGACUCAGCGGGUUCAAUGCGCCUCGGCUGGGAAAGAGAAGCUGGAAGGAGGAAAGAGACGAAGCUGCUGGCUGCGAGAAAGAGGAACAUUGAGCUCUGAUGAUCUGCGAUAUGAUCCAUGUUUGAGGGUAAACAAGAGCGGACUGGGGGGGGAGGCUGGAGAAAAACAAAAACAAUAGACGUCAUCGGUAGCCUAUGAUGACUACUGCAUAGCAAGACAGAAAUAUUGCGUGGCUGCAGAAGUGUCACAUCUCUAAACAGAGACAGAAGCAGAGGUCAUGGAGGGUAGGGCUAAAAGAAAAAGAACUGAACCUCCAACCUCUAAUCCAACUUGGAUAAGAGGCUCAUACCAGCUUCAACAACUGACAACAUGUUACACACAAGACAAGGACACUUGGAAUGUGUCUAUCAUUAUAUUUUUAAUUUGAUUCUUUGAUUACAUAAUUAAAUAAUUAAUUAAAUAUUUAAUUCAAAUAAAAAAUUAUUGAAUUAAAAAAUAAAUUACUCAAAUAACUGAGUCAUCUGAAUUCAAAUAAUUUAAUUCAAAUGAUCUGAAUUCAAGGAAUCCAUCCAUCCAUGGAUGGAUUAAUAAAGGUUUAGGAUUAUAUUCUUUUACUGAGUUUUAAUUGUUUUUGUAGAUUGUAGUUUUUAGUGUAAUAUCUUCAAAACCUUAGAGAAGGUCAAAUGCAGGAUCUUGGUUGGGGGACACUGACCCGACUUACAGCCACUGAUUCUGCUGAAGAGACGGACUCACCAGAUGAGCUCGUCCUUCCAGCCUUCACAGCCGAAGAAUUAGAAACCCAGAACCAAAAACUGGAGUCAGGAGCUCUUUGUAAAGAAUGGAACAGAAGGGGAAGAGAAGUCUUUCUUCUCACAAGCUCUUGGCAACUGUGAUAUUUAGAUGUGUCCUGCCUCUCGCCCAUUGGCCGCUGGAGACCAGUACCCCUCGCACCCCCAGUAGGGAUAAGCAUGAGAUGCUGCGAUUGGAACUUCCAACAGAAGAAGAUGUUCGCUGCUCCCCAGCUGCACCACCAUCCUUGGAAUCCUCUCCCAAUGGCAACCAGCCCGUCGGGAUCGAGUCGGUCAUGGUAAUGGUGUUUCGCUCAGGCGGCUCCUGCACAGCAGUUGUGGCCUGGAGCUAGGUUUGAGUUACGAGGCCAGCAGCCGGAAGGCUGGUGUAGGUGUUGCAGGGGGUAAUUCAUUCAUACACAUCAAGUGACCCCUUAAAUCACUUGAAUGUUGCUUUAGCAGUAUGCUUUGGGUUAUUGUCUAGUUGGAAUGUAAACUUUCAUCCCAGUCUCAAACACUGACAGACUGAAACAGGUGUGAUUCAAAAAUAUCCCUUGACAGAGUUUCCCACUCCCUGCUGAUGAGACGUGUUGAUUUCGUUCCAGACAUUGUGGUUUCCUUGGCUAAACAGUUCAAUUUUGGACUUACUUGACCAAAGCAAUGUCCUCUACAUUUUGAAGGACCUACAUUUUGAAGGUCCUCCAACAUGUCUUUUGGCAAACUCAAAUCAGCCCUCCUGUUUUUCCCUGUAAGUAAAACGUAUAUAUAUAUAUAUAUAUAUAUAUAUAUAUAUAUAUAUAUAGGUGACUCUAGACUCGAGCAUCAAUUUCUUUGGACAGAAGAUCUCCAGCAGAACUAACCUCAUUAAAGGUGGCCACUAGGAAAGGGAUUAGAGAACAUAUGAGACAGACUCAUAAAAGUACCAGGCUAGGGCUGCAUUCAGUCAAACUACUUUUUGUGACUGUGCAGAUUAUUUAAUAAUACUUAGCUUCACUUGUCCAUGAAGCCUGAUGACACCAGUCAAGCUGUAAACAGAGAAAUAUGGAAGCCAGGUAGCAAUUAAUUUGCUACCUGAUCUGAUUUGCUAUCGAUAGAUAGAUAGAUAGAUAGAUAGAUAGACAGAUAGACAGACAGACAGACAGACAGACAGACAGACAGACAGACAGACAGACAGACAGACAGAUAGACAGA
Xiphophorus couchianus (Monterrey platyfish) is the source of this 2375-nucleotide long non-coding RNA. RefSeq lists it as uncharacterized. The record is from RefSeq and is a predicted model, not a curated record. Lineage: Eukaryota; Metazoa; Chordata; Actinopteri; Cyprinodontiformes; Poeciliidae. The transcript is spliced from 6 exons.